This 238-nucleotide ribosomal RNA is filed under the name uncultured bacterium. Its description in RNAcentral is "partial 16S ribosomal RNA". It matches the Rfam family "Bacterial small subunit ribosomal RNA", at positions 96 to 334 of the family's 1533-position model. The record is from RNAcentral.
CGGCGGACGGGUGAGUAACGCGUGGGUAACCUACCCUGUACACACGGAUAACAUACCAAAAGGUAUGCUAAUACGGGAUAAUAUAUUUGAGAGGCAUCUCUUGAAUAUCAAAGGUGAGCCAGUACAGGAUGGACCCGCGUCUGAUUAGCUAGUUGGUAAGGUAACGGCUUACCAAGGCGACGAUCAGUAGCCGACCUGAGAGGGUGAUCGGCCACAUUGGAACUGAGACACGGUCCAA